GCCUGUGUGGGGCUGCAUUCCUCAUGUGGACACCUCAGCUUCGUGAGGCUGUGGGCCUUGCCUCUUUGGUUCAGAUCUGGUUGGUGCCUUACUUUAUGAAACUGCCUGAUGAUCAAUAAGGACACUUCAUGUGUGUGUAAAAGGAGAAGACUGGCAUGAACCCUGCAGAACUCGCUCGGCAACAGCUUCAUGCAGUGUAGAACAGAACAUCAAUGAGCAGCAGCCAAAUUAAUCUACAAACAACAGCAGUGAUGACAACAGCCCUUGAAGAAGCUACUUGAAGGAUUUGUUUGCAUGGAUAAAUCAGUGUUUCUUCCAUGUCUUCACCACUCCUUACUUAAGUUGGUCUGGCUGACUACCUUUGAGUGAGUACCAACAGUAAUUCAGAGUGAGACAGUUUUAAUGUAUUUCUUCAGUGAGAUGAAAAACACAAACCACCAGACCAUGGAUACAGUUACAUGUGUAGAAAAAUCAUCUAUCUGAACAGUUUGUCUGUGGGGAAAGAAGAAUAUAUGUAGAGGUUGUUUGUCUUUGCAAAUUGUUUGGUGGAUUGUGCUGAAGUGAAUACAUUAGUAGAUAUGAAACUGUUCUUUGACAGUCUGUUCAAGGCGGCAUGAAAACCUCACCCAUCCUGACAGAUUUUGUGAAGAAGCAAGGGCAAUGUGCAGAACUCCUCAUGGAGAAUACCACCACUAAAAUUACAUGCUGGAGCAUUGUUGCUGGGACAGAUAGCUGAAAGUGUUACGGAGGAAAAAAAAAAAAAAAAAGACUGGGAUAGAUUUUGGAGAGCAAUGGCCUUGGCAGACAAUAUGCAAAUACCGUAGUGAUGGACAUAUCACUACAGUGAAUCCUAGGGAACAACUGCUGUAAUUCAAGUACAGCAAAUCACACAGCUCAGAUAAGACUCAUCCAAGAGUGCCAGAGGAAAUAAAGUGUGAAAUAGCAGAAACACCGAUGAGGAAGCUGAAUAUAGGGGCCUGUAAACAUAGAGCAAAAAAGAAGCUAGUUUGUGCACUGUGUAUUCCACCUGUAGAAUUUACUGCCAGACUGGAGUCAUUGAAUGAAACCCAGACACAAGGCAAAAAGGAUUGGUUCAUGCAGUGACUUGAUGAUAAUCAUGGUUAUUCAUGUGAUAGACAUUCUGCUUUCCAUUUUUGCUACACAGAGACUUAAGGGGGAGGAAAGGUUAGAAAAAGUGUCACAUUCUUCAGCCAACUGUAGUAUUACCAAUGGAUACAUUAUAAGGUUUACCAUUCUCUGGAGGUUCAAGACUGGCCAUUCCCCAGGGCCAAAGACUAUUUCUGAAUGAGUAGACUUGUCUGUUGAAGCAGAUUGCUUUAGAGGGUAUUUGUCUAUGAAGCCUCUGGUCCAUGAUCAGCGUCUUCAUCAGAUUUACCACAAGAAACAUAUUUCAGUGACAGAGUCUGCUGAUUGUUACGUUGACUCUGUGUUUGGUGGCAAAUGUAUUCAAGGACUUACAUCUUGUAUCUCUGUUGCACAAUGCUUGAGUGUCUCUCAACUGCAGGGUCAUGACUGUAGAGUUAGAGUACGAGGACACUAACAGCUAUGGGAUAGCGUCUGCAUCUGAGGCUCUCAUGGCCACAAACAGGUUUCUUUACUGAGGGAAGAAGAGUAGGGAGGAUUGCAUCAUUUGUAAAGGAGCUUCUUGACAGUACAGAGCACUGAUAUGAAAUUGGAAACUUGUCUUUUGGUGGUCUUUGGAUCAAGAUCAGUUAACCUUGGAGAUAUUAUGUAAUGGAUAUGCUACAAUCUGCUCACCGAAAGUAUGAGAUAAACAAGGCUUACUGCAAGUAACAAGUGGAAAUCUCCCAGCUGUAGCUUACCUUUUUCAAAGGGAGCUUAAUAUCCACACAUUGUCUAGGAGGUCAGCAUGGUACUGUGCAAGCAGCUGAGAUAGUUCCUUGAUUGCAUUGCUGGUGACAUCCCUAAACUAAUGCUUGACAGGCCAACCAGGACAGGUUCACAGAAAGUGAGCCAGAAUUACUGGUAAAAGUGACUCUAAGCUAAUGGCUGUGGAUACAGUGACCAGGAGAUGAUUGAGCUCAGGAUGGGGAGGAAAGAUGGGAAAGCAGCAGAGUUAGGUCUUUGGAAUAAAAGACAGUAGGAAGUUGCUAGGAGGGUGGUUGGUUUUUUUAAAAAAAUAAUAUAUAUUAGCUCAAUAUAAUAUAUAUAAUUAUAUAUAUAAAUAAAUAUAUAUAAUAAUAUACAUAAUACAUAUAAAGCUCAAGCACAAGCUAUCCAACUGUGAUGGCUAAUCACAAACUGGCUAUUUCAUGAGAAGAUACCCUUGACUAAGCCAGGAACUUAUUUGCAAACUAAAAAAAAAAAAAAAAAAAAAAGCAAGAAGUGGAAACCAGCAAAAGCAACAAAGGAGAAUUCUAUUGAGGAAAAAUUUGGAAAAAACUUGUCAGAUGUCUCAAUCACUUGCUUGCUAGGGAGAAGGCCAAAGCUCAGGUGGAGAUAAACCCAAGUCUAGUCUAGAAGAUGACAACUUCAGUAGAUAUGCUAGUAGUAAGAGGAAGUUUAGAGAAAACAAGGAGCUGUUGUUGAGUGGAGAAGACAAUCUAGUCCAUAGUAAUCGAUAAUUCAUUAUCUGGUAUGCAUUUUGGAACAAACACAAAAGAGGUUUACAUUGUUCAGUAAUUUCAUCAUAAUUUACUUGGAUGCUAAGAACACUACUGGUGGAUGAUACUAAAUUAGAAAGAGGUGUUAUUAAGCUGUAAAGUAAAACCUCAAUCCAGGUGCACUUCAAGAAAUGUAAAUUAUGCACGUGGGAAUAAAAACCUUAUUCAGGCACAAAUGCAGGCUGAAACUGACAAGAUGACUAGCAGUGUUCAUGUAAAUGCCUGUAGCUAGUAGUGAAUACCAAGGCAAAUAUGUCUCGUUUUGGGUUCCACAUCAAGAGGGGUAAGGAGAAAGAAUGUCAGAGGGCUACCAAGAUAGUUUGAAGCCUAGAGCACAUGACCUUCAAGAAGUUGAGAGAUCUAGACUUGUUCAGUGUGAAGUGAAAGUUAUCUGAUAGCAACUUAGAACAACUGGAAGGGAAUUUAUGAUUUGAUGGAGCCAAACCCUUUCAUUUGAAGAACAUAAAAUGAAAAGAAGCAGUGACCAUUUACUGUAGUUUGGGAGAUUCACAUUAAACAUUUUGGAAAAAUUCCUCGCAAAGUACAGGAUUUUAGCAAUGGAAGAAUGAGGGACUGCAGGAUCUCUACUGUUGGAGGUUUUCAUGACCUGUCUAGGCAAGGUCAUGUCAGGCCUGAUCUACAGCUAGUGAUGGUUUUGCUUCAGGGCAAAGGCUGAACUAUACAGUUUCCAGAGGAAUCUUCCAACACUCUAUGAAUCAAAGAGUAACUCAAGAUUAAAUGCAUUGUUUUCUUCAUACACAGCAUGUGUCUGAUUUCCACUGCAUCAAAAUAGACUUGUUUAGAUAAAAUUCAGGAGCUGCUCUCAGACUGUUCUUUUAUAUCUCCUUUGCCUUAAGAGUGCCAAGGGAAUUAUGCUUCUGUAACUUGGCAGGAGACCUAUAGCUUAGGAUAAAACCUAUUUUCAUGCUGUUUUGUCUUAUAUCACCUUUGGCAAGAAGGAGAGCAUAUUUUGCUUUGCAAUGUCACUUUAUUUGAGAGGAUCCUCUUGAGUUAGUAGCAGCCGCGAAGGUCAAGAGAUUAGAGAGGAAAACUAAUUGCAUGCUAUAAACAAACCAAAUGUACUUCAUUCUGCACUAGGGUUUUUAUCAGCUCUUGUUUUAUCAGAAAUCAAUCCGUCCCUUCACAGUUUACUCGUUCAUAGGAUAACAAAUUAGAGUUUGCAGUAGUAAAUAUGGAAACUAUAGCUAUAAUUCAUCAGUUCUUUUAUCUCUGAUAAGCUUGCAUUAUUCACAAUAGAAGGUCCAUCUCUCAUUUUACCAGGGAAUGUGACAUUUGUUUCUUCAUUUAUAAACCAUUUAUACAGAUAAACUCACAGAGCAGAGUCCACAAACAUACCUGAAGUAACUUCCCAGUACAAUUGAACUGAAUAGACUUGGUUGUUUAUAGCUUGCAAAGUUCUAUUUUGCCUAGAAACAAGUCUUCAAAACUUGGAAGCCCCCUUUUCUGGGUGUUAUAAUGUAACAAACCUUAGAACUAUAUUCUCCCUAUGUGAAUUGGUAUUACAGCCUUUGCCGUCAGUGCAUGAUUUCUUUGAGCUUCAGUCACAGAAACCCACAUGCAGCUAAAACACAGGCUUUAAACAGCUCUCUGCAGUCUUCUUUCAGAGUCAUCUAGGCUCAAAACACAAGUGGGAACGUGUGAUUAACACCCACCAAAAAAAAAAAAAAAAAAAAAAAAAAAAAGGAAAAGAAAAAGAAAAAAAAAGAAAAGAAAGGAAAGGAAAGAAAGAAAGAAAAAGAUCCAACUCAUCCUCCACACUCCACAAAAGGACUUCUCAGAAGAAUGUUGUUUACCCAGCAUCAUAGGAAGUGUCUGGUACGGAAGAAAUGUGGGAAAAAGUUCAUACACAUGCUUUAAGAAAUAUCCAGGAAAAGAAAAAAGAGAAACUAGAACAGAAAGGGGAAGACAGAGAAGGUCAUGAAACUCCAAAGGCAGACAUUUUCUGGGACUAAGCUCUGCGUGGCAUGAUGGUGGGGCAAGAUCUGGCAGUAGGAUACUACCUUCCCAUCUGACAGUGCUGUCAGAUGGGAUGCCCAGGCUUUCCUCCCCCCAGGUGCAGGCUCUUGCAGACCUACGUGCAAAGCACAGCCAUUUGCUAUGACAGAGGGAAGAGGAGAAGGAGGAUUUAGGAGAGGCCAGCACAGCUUCAGCUGCCUCCUCUGUGUCUCCCUCCAGUCCCCAGCUUGGCCAUGAGCCCUUAGACCUAGGUCAGAAGGAUGUACCAGCAACCAGGAGUUACUAACUGCAAGUAGUUUUACUGCUGAAUUUGUAGGAGAGAAAGAGAGAGAAAAUGUCUCUGAAGACCUAGUAUUCUGUUACUAUUCUUUUCUCACCUGUUUCAGAUGAGAAUCGUUUCAGUGAGACUGCUGAUUUCUUUGUUACUUCUUUCUGUCUCAUUUGAUGCCUGCUGCUGGUUUUUUUCUUCUAUCUGGAUAUCUUUUUUUUUCUAUUUGAGAUUAUUAAAAUGUAGUCCUUUCCUUCAGAGAGUAGCCCUUGCCCUGUCAUGAAAUAAAAUCAAAUUGAACGGAAAGGCUUUACUUGGAGUUUGGAGAGGAACUGAGCAGUUUUAACAAGAACAGACAUAAACACCCCCAGACUGCUUGUACUGCCAAUCUGAGCUACCUUAUUCAUGUUAAGAUAUUGAUGAUCUAUUUUCAAGGUGGGAUAUCUACUGCUUUGCAACUUUUGUAUAUGAAGUGUUUUUCUGUAAUUUAAAUACCUCUCAAAGACAACAUCACAUCAAGUUUUCUCACAUUUCUUACUAUCUAACUACCUACUUUUCCUUGCCAUUAAUGCAUCUGAAUAAAUGCCUUACACUAUUAAAUAAGUAUUUUUUUACAUCCUGUUAGAAGGGAGCAGAAAAAAAUCCUAGCUUUGUCAAUGUGUUGCUGCUGAUUUAGUGAGCGUACAUUUGCAAACCAGUAAAGCACACACAAUAUUUUCCUCCAGUCUCCUGCUUGCUCUCCAUUUCUGUUGACAGCAUGGAUAAUUCUGGACCUGCUAAUUCUCUGCUUGUGGUGCUUAAUGCUCUUGCCAGAGCACUCAUUACUAGAAAGAGUCUGAGGAUCAAACUCAUCCCUAGGGUAAUCCAGUGCAACACUGACUGAAGUCAAUAAGAGUUGUGCCUGCCUAUGCCAGAGCUGUAUUAAUCACUGAAACCAUCUCCAAUGCAUAGGUGCCUUGCUAUGUUUAUUCUGUCCCACCAUGCCCUGUACAUUAAGAAGAGAAUAAGAGACAAAAAGUUUAUGCUGUUCUAAUGUCUGCCAGUAACAAGACUGGAGAUUCACAGCAUCUGAAACCAAUCAGUGUAGCAAAGUGCUCUGCAGCUACACAAAGCACUCCAUUUUAACUUUGCAUCUAAUUGUGCAUUAUAGAGGAUCUUUCAAUAUGCUCUUCUAGGCUGCGCUAGCAAACUUAGUAAUAUGCACUCACUUGCUGACUUGCUUAAAAAAGGAAAAUUAAAUACAUUUCUCAUAUGGCUAUAUUGUGGAAUUUUUCCACACUAUUAAAUAUAAUGUUGCUCUAGCUUAUUGGCAUUUUUUGAGAGAAAACAUUUCUUAAGUUAAACUAACUGAGCUGUGUGGGACUUUCUGUUUGUGCCCACUGUGUUUUUUUUUUUUUUCUCCAACACAUGCAGUAUUUCUGCUGUUGUGCCAGCAACUUAUCUAAGGUAGAAAAUCAGUGGCUUUCUCAUCUCUUACCAGAACAGAUCAGGAGACAUUCUUCUGAAGUCAGCAGGGCUAGGCUGGUAUACAGGAAGAGAAAAUCAUGUUCGGCAUGAUCAGCUCUGUAAAAGAAAACAAGCUACAACCAUUAUAAUGAAUAACUGAGUUACACAAAGUUAUUCCUUAUUCCGCUCUUUAAUGUGGUUUGAGUGACAGUGAGUGGGACACUACAGCAGUGACAUUUCGGGAGUAAUUAAGAAAAAUAGUUGCAUGUGCUGUGCAUUUCUUUUGUGAGAAACGACCACGAGAAAGAAAUUCUUUGAAACAAUGGUAUUUCUUUGUUCAUGUAUUAUGCACACACCUGUGUAUUCACACAGGUUAAUGGCAGGGCAAAGGGAGCCUUAGUGCAAAUGUGAUAGCCUGAGCAAAGAAAAUACAAAGGAAAGUUAUACUGACAGACAGACAGAAAGGUUUAAUGUUAGUUAUUGGAGCUACUGGAACUGAUACUUUGAGCUAGGGUUUCUUAACAUUAAGGCUUCCUUCUCUGUCUUCCUGAAAAGCCUAUUACAUAAGUCUAGUUAUUGGGUUAGACUCAUUUAAAAUCCAGCCUUGUGUCACCUAUUAAGCUAACAGAUGUAGAUCCACAGAUGGAUGAAUUACUACUAGCUUCAAAGAUGCUUGGCUCAUGUAAAGGAAUUGAGGUGCUAUAUGAUGUUUGGGAUUUUUUUCCAUUGACAUAUCCACAUGAGAUAUACUUUGCUAGGCACUAACUUGCUUGGCCUUUUAGUCUCAGUCAGAAAUUUUCUAUUAAAAAUAAAAAAUGAUCCUAACAGGGAGAUACCAAACAUCCAUCCUUUAAUCUCUGGGGUCCUUCAACCAAUUUGAAAGUCAACAUUGGAGGAAGUAAUUUUUUUCCAGUUUGUUUCAGUCUCAUCCCCUACAGUUGUUUAAAUUGGCCCAGCAUGCAGGAGUUUUAAAUUAGCUGAAUAGUAAAAUAAACCCAUUGUGUAUAGCUUUUAUAACAUUUGCACAGCAAAAUAUGUCUGUGUAAUAAAACACAGAUAAAAAUACAUAUUUUACCUACAGGCUAUUAGGAGGGUGUAUUUACCACACAAUAAUACAGAAGGGAUAUAUAUUAUACAACAACAACAAAAAUCCCUAGCUGUAGAUUCUGCCUUCAACAGGUCUGAAUCUCAUCUAUGUUACAGGUUAUCAGCAUAUUCUUGGUCCUGUGCAUCCCUGACCGAGAUACAGAUAAGUUAUGUACAUCCGUGCAACCCGGGCUAUGUGUAUGCAUGUGGCCAUGAACACUCCAUGCAUGCUGAUAUCUGCAUGUGCUAUGAUGUAGUAUGCCGUAUGACAUGCUGCUCAGAAAGAUAGCAUGGAACGAUCUGCUCUUUAAGGUCAUUUGUAAAAUUAUUAUAAACGGUUGCUUAGGAUUGGGCUAAAUAUAGUCACCAGCAGAGUUCUUGCUUAUUUUGAAACAAACAAACAAACAAAAAAAAAACCAGUCUGUUGAGUGAAAUUUUAUUGUUUCAGAACUAAAAUUUGGUUUCAUUUCUUCAAAGUGAGGCAGACCUUCAUGUUAUGUUCUUAUUAUUAAGAAACACUCAGGAGAAUAUGUUAGAUUUACAGAUGGUCCCUAAAAAAUAAGUCCAGUGAGAAAUGCCUUACAGCAUGCAUCAACAUUUGUUGCUGUUAUUUGUUUGGAAUCUGAUUAAGAAAAAAACAAAUAGUUUAGUUUUAUGUUAUGUUUAGGACAUAAGUAACCUAAAAACAUCCCAAUAGCCUAUUAUAAUUACAUGAGUUACGUCCAUUUUGAAAUCUCAGAAUCUCUCACCGGCAGAGAUUUGUAUUGAUACAGGCAACUUUAGGGAAACCAAAUGGUAAUACAGGGUCUUGUCCUCGCUAUAAAAUGUUAAAUCCUGCAAAACUAACUGAAUGUUGACUCUAAGUUAAUUGUUGAUUGAUAUUAUUGAUAUAAUUGAUAUAAUUGUUGAUUGAUAACUGAAUGUUGAUUGUAAGUUAAUACAAAAUAAAAACGUGAAAAGAUGUCAUUCAAUGCAUCAAAGAGCACCUCAAGAGCAGAGCGUUGCAAGACUGCUGAUCAGCAAAAGCAAUGGCAUAAUGGAAAGAAAAAGUUAUUUCUUCUCAUCUUCCAAAAUGUAGCAUCAGUGCAGGUGAGGUGAUGGAUUUUACCUUCACAGAAGUACAGCCUGCCAGGCAAUAUACUUGGUACACAUACUGAGACUCCCAGGUCUCAGCCUCUCCAGAAACUGCAAAAUGGCUACACCGAAAAAAAAAAAAAAAAAGCAAACCAGUUUUUAGAGGGGAGGAGGCUUAACUGUGUGCCCCGGAUUUAGAAAUCGGAGUCGUCCUUGAAGCAAGAAAACAACAAGCAUGUCCUGCUCUCCGCAAGUUGGAGCAGGUGUUGUGUAGAGGGAGUCUUCCUUGGAGACAUGAUUAAAUGAAAUUGUUGGUUUUGUUUUUGUUUUUGUUUUUUAAUUGUGGCUUGUGACACAGCAACUUUUCCAUUCUUCUCUUCUGCUGAUUGAUUUUCACUUUGCAAAAGGAAGAGUAAUCUGUUGUACAUCAAAUAUUACUUUAUAGAUAAUCAGUACUAUCUGCUUCAGCAUUUGCCAGGUUUCAGGGGAAAAAAAUUUUUUUGGAGGCUUCCUCUACAUCCAAAUUCCAUAAAGAACUCACUGGAAUACAUUCAGAGAUGGUGGGUAAGGUUGAGGUUUGAUAUUACUCAUUUAAUAAUCAAAUCUCCUAUGAUGUAGACCCUUCUGGAGUUUUAUGAGAGCAAACUGAGCAUGAAGAAAAUGAUGUGUGUAAUCUUUAAGUAACACAAAUUUGCUAUGGUAGCUCUUCUCUUUCCUUUAGUUUCUGAAUACACCAAAUCUUAGUUAAUAACAUGAACUUUCCUUCUUGCGCGGUUGCAAAAAAAGCUGUCUGUGGUGACCUGAUGUUUCACAAGAACUGCAGUCACAGCAAUUAAGUUGCAGUUUGUGCUCAGCAUACACUGUGCUCCUUUCCCCUUCCAUUUCCCUUCCCUUUCCGCUUCCCUUUCCCCUUGUAUUUCCACAUCCCUUUUCAUUUCCCCUUUCCAAAUCCUCUUUCUCUUCCCCCUCUUUUCAGCAAAUAGCUCCUACAGGACAGAGCUGGAAGGAGGAAGAGCUGAGACCUUCAGGGCUUUCCUGAAGUGUCCAGACGCCAGACACACAUCUCACUGAUGGCAGUAGGAGACCCCCAGUGGAGUUGUCUGGACCACAGGAACUGUUCCUGCCCCUGGUCCAGGGGUACCAGGCAGAAGUGGGGUUCGGUGCAGUAGGGCUCACCCUUGUUGCUGGAUUCACCACCAGCACUUUAACUGAAACAGCUGGUUAUUUGGGAACUGGGGCCAUAGUCUUUUAAAUUAUUAUUUCUGAUUUCACUGGCUGCACUUCACUGUGAACACACACUGGCGCUAGGGAUUUCAUUUUCUGGAACUCCAGUUUGUGUCAAUUUCUGACCAAUUAAGUUUGGCAGUUUCUCUUUAAAAUGGUGUUCCCUUCUUUCCCAACAAUUGCCUUACUUAUCAUCCUUACAAGUCCUCAGAAUAGUUAAAAAGAAAAAAAAAAAAAAGAGAGAGAGAGAAAAGAAAAGAAAGAAAGAAAGAAAGAAAGAAAGAAAGAAAGAAAGAAAGAAAGAAAGAAAGAAAGAAAGAAAGAAAGAAAGAAAGAAAGAAAGAAAGAAAGAAAGAAAGAAAGAAAGAAAAAGAAAGAAAAGGAAAAAAGAAAAUAAAAGAAAAAAAGGAAUAAACCCCCAGUAAAGGAACACAAGGCACAUCUAUGUCAGAAAACUCUUGUUAGUGAUUUCUGAAGCACUUUUGUCACUGAAACUUAAAGCAAGAAUAACAAAACCCCACUAUAAAGGAGGACUGAAACAUUGUUUCUCCCUUUUACCUCUUUGUAUUAUCAUCUCACUCUGAUUCAACUAAAGCUGCACAGAGGGAGGAAACUGCGGUCUCGGUUCCUCUGAUUUUUGUAGCAGAUCUAAUUUUAGAAUCUGUUGUGUCAAGUUUUUCUAAACCUGUCAGUUUAAUUUGGCAGAUGCGGGUUAAUGGAGACCUACUGAAAGCAGGGUGAAAAUCUAUCUGAGUAGAAGAACAUAAUUCAUGACUUUCACAGUGCAGCAGUAAGGUAACAGACAAAUGUCUCUUCAGUAAAGUAACAGAUAAAUGUCUCUUCCUUGAAGUUGUAACAGGAAUCCAUAGACAAAAAAAAAAAAAAAAAAAAAAAAAAAAAAAAGAAAAAGAAAAAGAAAAACCACUAAUGGCCAUGUAAAGAAAAAAACCUGCUUCUAUGUUAGAUGGCCCCUUAUCUUCAAAUUCUGAAGUGGCAGCUGCAAAAAGAUCAAGACAGGUAGAGCGGCAUAAGGCAGAGGCUUAGGCACAAAAAGCUUUAAAUGGAAGCAGAGCACUUCAGGCACCGUGAUACAAAUCAGCAGUGGCGGAAGAAGCCUUUCAAGAAAAUAAUUUAAUAUUUGUUAAAUAAUUUGUAAGAAUUAUUACAAUAUUACUUAGUUCACUUCAGCCCCAGACUGCCAGUGAGUCAGGACUCCGGAAAAUGCUGUCCUGACUGGACACUGGUCCAUUUAGGUAACUUAAUACAUAAAUCUAAUGUAGAGAGCUGAGUGAAAUUCAACUUUCUAAUUGCAUUAUACUAGUUCUGUAGUGAUUUCCAUUCUGUUUAAAACAAAAACAAAACAAAACAAAACAAAAAGGCAACCCACCUACAUAUCAGCAUUCAGACCCCAGGACAGUGAACCCUAUAAACCAAGGGUCUUACAGGGACAGUUCAAAGUCCCCCCGUCUCUCCUGCAUACUGGGGGCAGCUCCCCUCAGAGCUUCAUGGAGGUCUCCUGAAUCAAUCUCCAAUUGCCUUGGAGGCUGUCAGAUGGUCCUAGCAAUUCCCAUUGCCUCUUACAAGGAAGUAUGCAGAAUUUAAGCUUUAUGCUCUCCUCUUUAUGACAGGGGAAACCAAACAGUUUAGCCAUUAUCUAGAAGCAUGCUUUUGCAAGCAGGUAAAUAAAUACAUGGGCUUCUACUUGCUUGUGAAAAUGUGAGGAAAUAAGCCAUCAUUCAGUAUGGCAUAUGGUACACUGUACGAGUGACCCUGGAAAAGGAAGUCUGGAAGGUUGCAGAGGAGUUACUUUUAUACACUCAGAAACUGUCAAACAAUACCAUGAUGCACUCCAGAGCAGGCAGUCACAGCCUUAAUGUAUGUCUAGCAGCAUCUCCACCAGGGUAAGAGGAGAAAGAACCUCUCACAGAAUUGAGCCAUGCCAAAUUGCACAGCUAAACACUGUAGAAGUCAGGCCUUUUAUUUUCCUUAGAGUGAAGAAGAAACCCUAACACUUAUAAAAUUUCUUCCUGAGAAUUUUUUUUAGCUUGGAGAGCAUCACUUGCAGGACAUUCUGUAAGCCAGCAACAAAGCAAGGGUGAUCAGCACAGCACCACUCUGGAGACUUAAAUCUUCAGUCCCUAGGUGCUUGUCAGUAGUGACCUUAUGUAGCUUUUCUUAAUCUCAAAAGAAUAUAUCUCAAAUGUAAAUGUAAAUGUUAAAAAAAAAAAAAAAAGGCAACAAGAAAACAGGGGACUCCCAGAGCAAUGUGACAGCUGAAAUAACAUCAGAAGAGAAUAAAAAAGUAGGCAUAUCAAUUAUACUGUUUUUGUAGUAAGCUGCCCUCCACUUGCAUUUAAGUUCUAUAUAUAUGGCCUCCAGAUUCCCAGGAAACUCAGAAAUUCUGGACAAACUGUGGGGUAGAUGGUUGCAUAUGGUAAGAACCAGGCUGUAGCUACAAAACAGUGUCAUCAGAUCUCUGACUUUUUGGCCAAUAUUCAUGUGCUUAUCCUCAAAGACUCAUUUUAGACUGCAGAUAGUUCUGAGAACUUUAGUUUUUCAGUGUCGUGAUUGUGAAAUGACCCUCUCAUGCUCAGAAUCUCCUCCCUGUAAGGUGCUUCUAGCAUAUCUUGGAUCAUUAGAAGAGGUUACAUGCUGAGGAAGAAUUUUUGGGCAAGGUUUUUUGGUAUGUAAGUCACAUCAUUCUGUUUUUGGUUCAAAAUUCAUUGGAAAAUCAUUAGUUAACUGUUCAAAUUACAGAUUUAUAGGAAAAAGGGCUGGAAGGGACCUGAAGAGGUCAUCUUUUCACCCUCCCAUGCCCUAAGGCUGAAACUCCAGGGGUGCUAAGCAUUCAGGAGUGAUUAUGUCCAGUUCUGUGAGAAGUUUGCCUUUCAGACAUGCUGAAGGGCAAAGGCCACUAAGAACAACUCUGAUCCGUUGUACCAUGCUUCAGACAUUCGCAGUUGUGGGUUAAGGGUCAGGGUCUAUCCAGAUUAUGUUCUGUUGUUGCCUAAAAAGGAAAGGCCUCUCUGAAUACUAAGAAACUGCUUUAAAGCCUUGAUUUAACAGCAGAGGAUUUGCUAUGCUGGAUCAUGGCACCAGCUCCACUAAAAUGACUCCCUCCUCAUUUGACAACCCACAUUAGAGCCUUCAAAGGGAACUCCAUUUGCCUGUACGUAAGCAGGAGAGCUACCUCAAAUGCAUUUAACAUAUGAGAGAGCCUCGGCUAGUUUGCAGAGUUUCUGUACUAUGCUUAAUGCAGUUCUAGCUUGCAAAACUAUAAAUAUUAUGAGCUGUCAUAGUGUCAUAUUCCGAGCUGUCAUAAAAUCAUUAAAAUAUCCAGAGUACUUAACUAGGGGACCUGCCACACCAGUGGAUUCCACAGACUGGCUUCUUAACAGGAAAUGCAGUAUUUCCUCAUUUGUGUUCUGAAUGCACUGACUUGAACUUCCUCAUUAUCUCUCAUAGUGUGGAACAGAGGUAACAAAAACAUUUUCAUUUUUAGUACAAUUUACGUGUUUUACUACUACCUGAAAGCUCCCUCACAUUUUCACUAUCAUUUCUUCACAACUAGUUAAACGUUCUUAUUCUAUGCAAUUUCCUCUUUCACCUCAACAAACUUUCAACAUUUUUUUGUUGACUGGCACAGAUUUUAUGCAAGUCCUGCCACUGCCUUCUUUUGUAUUAGGCCUUUCUAGCAUCUGUGUGCCAGAUGUAACACAGCUCUAACUGGAUUGGCAAGCACUGGUGUCAAUUUUAGAGUCAAAUUUGCUCUUUCCCUUCAAAAAUUACCAGUUUCCAAUGUAUAAGUAGGGUUAAAUAAUAAAAAAAUAUAACCGAAGAAUGAUCUGAAGCCACAGCAGUUGUCAAUACCUAUACUUGCAUUUAAAAAAUAAAUUAGAACAAAAUGUGGGGUUGCUUUAGUACUUGAAACUAAUGUCACUUUUCAUAGUUGGCAUGAGCUACCUGUCCCAGUUCCUUACACAAGCACUAGUCCCCAGAAACUGAAUAUACCUGAAACAAGAUUCAUCCUCCCAAGUUAGCCUUCUCUAUAGGUGAGAAGUAACCUUUUCUUCUCAUUGAGGUAGUGUUUGUAGUACUCCCUUUCAAAUAGACGCCAGAGUCAUGACUGCCAGUUGCUGUUACUGUCCUAGCAAUUACAUAUCAAGCAUGACUCAACAGUGCCACUCAAAUUCAAGGCUCAUCAACAGAAAUCACAGGUUAAAACAAUCUCAAUAACCUACCUAACAGAUCUGUAAGGAUCAGAUUCACCAGAGAGACUGGAGCACAACAUAUCAAUUACCAACCUGUAAGAAAUAUAGCUCAGGUAUUUUUCUGGAAUAAAACCUGUCUUGAAAACUUGAUUUGGGUGCAGAAAUUCUUAUUAGUCACCUGAGAAGGAGUUCCAGAAAUCUGAAAAAGAUUUGUUUAAGGGAAACAGAAAAUGGAAGGAAGAGGAAGGGAAUGAAGGGAACUAGAUCUGCUCAAGAUUCUCCCUGAAGAUCCUCCCGGCAUGGCCAACACUUGGAGAUAAAUAUGAUCAGAUCCUUGUGAUUUAGAAAGUUGGUUUCAAGUUCCUCAGGGUUUGAAUUUUUGCAUCAUAUUUUUUAACUUAUGUGAAGGUAAGCUGUAUUUAUUGAAAAUAUGAAAUAACUACUUUACAAAUGUUUUUUUUUUUUUUUUAAUUAAAAAAGCUACCCACUAGAGUGAAUCUUAUUAUUUUUGUAAUUCUGGAACAUAAGUUAACAUUAUAAAAGUAAUUUUAUUUCCCACCUCAUAUUCUUUAGAAAAAUUCAGUGCUUAAUAUAUCAUAUACAAAUUGUAAUUUUCUGCUUUAAAACACUUCACUACCAUUAACAAAUUAAUUUGCCCUUUAAUAAAUGGCAGAGUUCCACAGAACAAAAGACAUCUUAAUCAUUCCCUUGUUAUGUUCUGAACGUUCAGGGCCAUGGCAUCCAAGACUGCUAAUUCCAAUAUACAAGUCAUUUCUGUGGUUAUAUAAGAAAAGAUUCUUCUUAGAAGAUCUACUUGAUCUCCAUUAGAGAUUAAUAAGCCUGUUGUUCUCCACUGUACACAUUAAGACUAAAGAAUGUAGGAAGUUACUGGGUUGAUAAAAACAAACAGUAAAGAGGGCUGGAGAAAGUCCUGAAGUGGACUUGUUGAACUGCUAGCAAUUUGGCAUCCUGGAAGACUGUUUCAUCUUGGAUUGAUGUUAUUUUCACUUAGGAGAACUGACAUUGAAGGAGGAUGUCUAGUCUGAGUAAUUGGAGAAUGCUGCAGUAAACCAUGGGAUCCUGAUCUCAUCAUUUGGCCCACGUGCCAAAUCUUUCCUCCAGAAGCCAAGACCUAGGAAGAUUACAGUGCAGAAGGCACUGUGUUUAUCUAAUGAGGCGCAGCAUGAAAGCCAGGUCUUUGCAUGAGGGAAAGCAGUUAGGGCCAUCUAUAUCUCUGUUCAUUCUGAACACCACCUGCAUUAUGUAUUUUCUAGACUAGCAGCCCAGUACUUGCAGUCCCAUUAUUGACUGUACAAAUUAGGUUUCAGAUUCAUUACAACUUACUAGUUUAUUGGACUGUCCUGUGGUACAGCGGGAUCCACUCCUGAGUUCUACUAUCGCAGCAGAACCAUAAAAAGAGUAACAGCUAUGGUAUAUCAGGUAAUUGUUAUAAUGUAAACAAAAAUGUUAAAUUUUUGUACUUUACAUUAAAUGCCAACAAUCCAGACAAUAUUGGUUCCAUGUCUGCCUCAUUUGGGAAAAACAAAGCAAAAAAAAUAAUAAUAAAAAAAAAGAAAAAAAUUGGAAUAGCACUCAGCCUCCAAAAAGCUGAAAACAAGCUGAAAGAUAGCACUGAAAUAAUAACAUCUCUGCAGAAUUUCAAAACCUGUGAUCAGUAAAUAUUUGUAAACUUGGAAUCACAACACGUUUUGAGAGUGUAAGUUAAUACUGCUGAUAUUCAUACUAAUGCAUAAAUUGUUCUCAUAUAUAGAGCAAGCCAGUAGAAUUCUGGGGAAAAUUUCAAGACCUUUUAAUAUUUAGUGGUGCUUCCCAAACUGCAGAAUGAUAUUCCAGUCACUUUGACAUUUUGUAGAUAUACCGCAUUUGUCUUUCGAUACUAUGGGGGCUGCUCCAAAAGUAAUGCUUCCUACUUUAUUCUGUUGGCACAAGGUAUCAGAGGCAGGUAUUGAUGUGAUGGCAGUAGAGAUUGAACCACCCCACCAAUAUUCCAUUACAUGUUGAUGCUGUGUGACAGAUGGCAGCAGAGGGGCAGCCUGACAAAAUGUUGUCUGGAACAGAAGUGCAUAUGAAGCAAAGGUGUGUCGUUGUGUCAUGGUUCUGGCCUAGUUUGGCCUGUUGUGUGACUGACUAAUGGGUCAGACUGACACACGGGCCCACAUUCUGGGAAAAAAGGUAGGGAGAUGGGCCUAAAACAGCAGCAACGAGCUAAGGGAGAAAACUAUUUUACUAAACAUGAUAGUGGAAUUUGAGAUAACACAAUAUAAUACAGCAUCAUUGGAAUUGAAGUGAAUAAACCAAAUAAAAUGAGAGAGAGAGUAUCCAGAACCAAAGGCCUUACUCUAAUGCUGAAGGCAAGAUGGCUAGGGAGCACACAUCACAGAGGCGAGCAGGAGAAGAAAAAGAACUAGUUUCGUGACUCCAAACAGUUUUGUCUUUCCCUCUGAAUGAAAAAAGGAAACGGAACAGUGAAGUAUUCUGGGAUCUGUAGUUCAUUCUUUCUCUUCUGAGAACCAGACAUCUGGAACAAUCGGCAAUCCAUGGAAUGGCAGCAUUAACUCUUUAACUCCCAGUGCACUACAUGAUGUUAUGAUGUGAAAUAUCAAUAAUGGAAAUCAUAAAACCAUGACACAUUGAAUUCCUCUGUGUGGAAAAAAUGGCGCCUGUUGAUGUUAGUCAACACUUGCUUAUGGAGAUGAAAUGUGGCUGUGAGCGCAGAGAGUUGGUGAGUGAUUUGUUUCAGCAGUGGCAAUAGCAAUAUGAAAGACAAGUCCCAGGCAGCCAUGCACAGCUGUCACACCAUGAAAUGAACAUCACCUCAACCAGAUCGCCCAUGCAAAUGAGCUAGUGGUGGUGAGUAUGUUGAAAAACAGUGUUAUGUAUGUAUUUUUCUCAAUCAAAUAGUGCUAUUGUGCUCUUUGUAUCUGUUGUACUUUCCAUGGAAACAAAUAGGAGGCAUUUCUUUCGGAGUGACUAACAUACAGAAGUAAUCUCUUUUUCCCCUGCACUCCCUUCUUGGUGUUGUAACAGUCUCUAAUAUACGAACUGCACAUUUUCUGUUUUUGUACUUUAGUUGAUCUACUUGAUCUAUGGAAAGUAAAACUUAAGUUUAUAUUUUUGUAACAAGUUUUCAGAUUAUCAGACUCAUUUACUUCUUCCCUCUACCUCUUCUUUGUUUGCAAGAAAACAAUUAAUAGAAAUGAGAAUUUUUAUGAUAGUGGCUAGGAUCGAGUUUUCAGCUUUCAAAAUUCUCAGUAUAUACAUACAGAUCAUAUUACCAUUGGGAAAGCUUUUAUUAAUCUCAAUGUCAGAACUGUUUCAACAAAUCUACUGUAAUAAUGAAAAGACAUCUUAUCACAUUUUGCUCUCAGUAAAUUUGCUAUUCUUUGAUAAGGUUGCAAACAAGUGGGAAGUAAUUGAUCUCUAAUUAGUGUGGCAACUGCACAAGACAGACUGCAGUGGGAUUUCAUCAUUUAUCUGCCCUGUGCUGUGCAUCCCGCUCUGUAACAUUAAAUUAUUUACCUUCUCCCUUCAAAUAUAAAUGGUUUUAUGCAUCCUCCAUUAUUCUAGGACCUCUCUGAAGAUGAAAAUAACAUCUGAAUUUCUGAUUAUUUGUCAGUGGUAGAGUUACUGCUGUAGCGAUCAUUUUUCACACAUGCCUUGCCAUGUCCUUAGUUAGCAAGCCAUUGUCUGCCCAUGCCUGUGAAUGGACACAAAAAAAGACUCUUUGAUCUGUACCCAGUUUGUGCUAUUUGCCACUUGGCUGCACUAAACCUUCUGAUAUAUGUGAUUGCCAUAGCUUCUUCAAGAGUUCAUAGAAUUCUUCAAGAGCUGUGGUAACUAAAAGGCAUGAGUUUAACAUGCUAUGGUACAGCAUCACCAUCAUCACAUUCAUUACAGUUUCCAGUUACCCAGAUGCUGUCAGCCACUCUUUCCUAAGAGUGUGUUCCAGGCCAUAAUGAGUGUCCAUGGUGAGAAGAGUGGCUUUUCAAUAUUUUUAUUUUUUUUAGUAGCAUGACUCUUUAACAUUGUAAAAGCAUGUAAAUUGGAUGAGUUUCUUCAGUGCUCUAUCCUUCCUUAAGUGCAAAAAGUGCAGAGAAGGAGAUAGCUGGCUGUUGGCCUGGGAAAAGAAGUGGCCAUAGUUUAAUUCACAUAACUGAAGAUGUAAGUUCUUUGGAAUAUGAAGAAGAGAGAUAUGGCGUUACCUUUUUGUCACUUAGCUUCAUUUUCUUUUCAUUAAUUGUUACGUUAUUCUGUUCUCCAAGAAGUCAAAAGGAGAGUCUGUCACUUGAACCAAAAAGUGUCAGGACAGUCACAUAUUAGUUCAUAUCUAGCCUCUCAAACUUUAUUAACGUUUACUGUAUAACCAACACAGAAAAACAAGCAGAGCAGAAUAUCAAGUGACAGUCCUCCAGCACUGUAUUUAGUGACAUGAUGAAAUUGUAGAUAUUAGUUUCCAUUCUGUUUCUUACACAUUGAGAAACUGGCUUUUUCUCCACAGCUGUAUAAUAAAUUAGAAGUUUUUGAUGAGCUGAUCAAGUUGAUAUGCUGAGCUACUGUUACAGAGCAUAACAAUUAGCCCAAGAGCUUUAAAAAUUCUUUCCAGUAUAUAUUUGCUACCAGCUAAUUUCAUUUGUUCAUUUCCUUAGCUUUGUUGUGCCCUCUGAAAUGCCUCAUGGUGUCAUCAGUAUCAAUGAAACCAAUCUCAGUAUUCCUGCCUGUUCUCUAAUUGACAAUCACUAAUGUAUUAACACCACCAGUCCUGCCUCAGCACUUUGAAUAGAUCCUUUUCUGUUGUAUACAUGCUCUACUUCUCAUGAUUGCUGUACGUAGUGCUUGAGCUAUCCCUUUUUGAAGCGGCCCCCUUAAGAUUCAUCUCUUUUCAUAUAACAGUUGGAGAGUGUCUAGUCUAGUAAUAGAACAUGGGCAGCAUUUUUUUCUGCCUACCACUGAUAGCAUAUGUUUUGAUGAUUUGCAGGUUUCCCUGCAGCCUGUUUUCUAGUAAAAAUUACACAUGUGAUGAGAAAUAGACAUCUUCCCAAGUGCCCCACCAGAUCUCUGUCGUGCAGAGCUUCACAGAUGGUGCUCAGACUGCUGCCAGAUUUUCUGUGAAUGGAAGUGGUUUACUUGAGCUCAGUCAUACUUCAGAUCUGGUUGCAUAAAGUAUCUGCCCUUAUUUGACUUCUCCUGUGCUCAGACUUACUGAGGAAAUCAAACAGAAGCCGAACUUCAUUAAGAUACACUAAUGGGGAUCUGGCAGAAAGCCUCUGAACACACAACUAAAUGGCAAAGGGGUACAUAGCCAGCACAAAGUAGAGUGUGAUGAUCACAGCCCAAGGUGAACACUUUGCACAGGUCUUGUGGGUGGCAGCUGGGGCACAUUUGUCUGCUCACUCAGCCCCUUGGCAUGCUCAGGAGCUGAGGAGUGGCCUCCUCUGCCUGUGCCUGGUGGCCACGUCAACACAACUUGCUCAUGCAUUUGCCACGUAGUUUCCACAGCCUCUACCUAAGCUGGGAAGUAUGGUUUAAAGCUGUCAGUUCUGGUCUCAAACUGUUCUAAGAAGUAGGUGGUGGUUUACUGAAAAAAAAAAAAAAAGAAGAGGUCUGUGUGUUUUUUUCGGAAUGGCGAUAAGAAAAAGCAGGUGUAUAAAUAUGUGAAGAUUAGCACUUGGCUCAGGAGGUUGGUAGUUACAAUUAGCUUACUGAUAUAAAUCCAGUUCAGAUGACCCGAAUUAGCUACCAAGUGACAGACUGAUGUGCUGGGUGACGUGAGUUUGGUCCCCUUCAUUCAGAACAAAGGAGACAAGUGUCCUCCCUUGCAAAAUCCCACUGCUGAUGCUGUGGGCUGGCAGAAACAAGGAAGACUCCCACAGAGGCUUUAGAUGAUUUCCCACGCAGUGCUUUUGGCUCUGGGCCUGCUAAGUUUGGCCAUGGGGUGUGCACGUAUGCAUGCAUGUGUGUUCAGGGUACUGCAGAGCCUGUGCCUCUGCAAGCUGUAGGGCCACGACAGGGCGGGCAGAGCAGCGUAGCUCCACAGCCCUGGCAGGGGAGGAUAUCUCUCCUGGGGGACCAAGAAGCAAGAAGCACCACUGACUCUUCGCCAGGAGGAAGGUCACCCUCUUGGCUGUCCUUAAUCUUUAAGUAAGUGCAAAUCUGUUGAAGGUAGAGUUAAAUGGAAAUUAUUUCCAUAAACAAAAGCCAGUGGAAAUACGUUGAAUCCUGAUGAACCUACACAGACGUUGUGCGGUGGAAUGGAAAAAAAAUGAAACCCCCUACACAUGUAAACAUACAUAGAGCCUGCCAAAGUGGGAUGUGAUCAAAGCAAAAAGAUGCAAACAUAUGGACAAAUUUUUAGCAAAAGAAAAGCGUAGCCAAGUUCACUGACCUUUAUUUUAAUUUUCUUUAGUUCUCAGCCUUAUGAGGAGUGCAGGAAAUGGAAUGUGCUAAUCCCAGCUAGUACAGUCUCCAAGAAAGGUGCAAAAUCUCCCCGAACCAGAUAAAAUUGAAUGCAGCCAGAAGCCUGUUUAAUCAGCCCUCCCCCAGUGUCCUUCCAAAUAAAGCUCUCCUGAUACUCUAUCAGGGGCCACCAAAUGAGUCAACAAGGAACCUGCAGUGCAGCAGAGAGCUUGUUUUUAACAAUAUAUUAAUACAUCUCAUAGCAAGAUCACUUCAAUGAAAUGAGAAUUUAUUUGAAACACUGGGGGAUAUUUUUUUCAUAUGGCAAUGAAGAGCUUCUGAUUUUUUGUUGUUGCUCCAUUUCCUGCACCUCUGUUUAUUGUCACAUCAUUCCAUAGCACCCAGCAGAGCAAUAGGAAAUGUUGUUAGGGAGCACACUGACUAGGGGUUUAAAGUGACUUCUGGAGGCCUGUAUUUGCAUUUUUUCUGCGUGUGUGUGUGUUUUCUUUUUUAAAUCUUGUGAUGUUUUCAGCCUGCCGGUACAUGUUUAUGAACACUGAGGGUAGAAUUAGGAGUUUUCAUAUGAUUAUUAUUAUUUUGCAUGUACAGAGCUGUUUUCAUUCCGAAGUAUGAAUUUAAGGUGGAAAUCCUUGUCUGGCAAACAACUGAACACCUAUUGUGCAAACACACUAUAGCAGAAUGAUAUUAAGGGCCCAAGCUGAGGACAUUAACACAAUUUCAUGAGCAUCUCAUUCCUGUCUCUGAUCAGUCCAGUGAGAGCUCAAACUUUGGCUAUUCAUUGCAGAAGGCUAGACCCUUUCCUGCUCAUACCAGUGGGAGUUCUACCACUGACUUUUGUGGGGCUGGGAUUGGCUCAUCCGUAGGCUGCAGUUAGUGAGAAGAAAGGCUGCCAAAGUGACUCAUCAACUUGGGCUGACAGCAGAGCAGUGUCUUAGCUGUGCCACCUGCCAGCCCCAAAGCUGACUCACAAACAUGUGUAUCCUGCUUGAAAAGCUCUCCUAACGAGUGCACUGCUAUUUAACCUUUCUCUGUUUUCCCAAGCAUUUCUGAAGACAAAUCUUUUCUUUCAGCUGCCUGCUGGACCUCAGUGUCAGUGAUGCAUAGCAGGCUCAUGGGUUGUGUUUAGUUUUGACCUGACUUGCAACAGCGUUAUCAGUGAAGUUCACAGAAUGCUGUGAUGGAGCCAGUACAAAACCACAGGACACACAUACACUGUCUAAUCUUUAGGAUGCUGUCCUAAAUUAUAGUACAAGAUCUGUAAUAUGACAACUCUCUUAUUUGACUUUUAUAUGACUGCCUAUAAGCAUUUUUGCCCAUAUACUUUUUGUAAAACAGCACAGCACUUGAAGGAUUCAUGACUCAGCACUUUAUUAAACUGUUCAGUUUUUAUUCUCACUUGAAGGUAAUGCCAAUCCACAGUUUAUCCACUUAUAAUAUAGGUGAUACAGCAUCGUCAUAGUUAAUUCUUAUGAUAUGGGUUUUAACUGAGCACUGAUCCUGUAAUUAACAGACACUGUGAGACCACAGAAAUAGGAACACAAUUGAAAAUGUAGACAUUAUUGACCAGAAUGAAAGGUUUCAAUAGGAAGUAUCACGGUCUCUCAAGUAAGUGUUCUUUUCUGUUAUGUGAUGACAGGAAACCAAGAAAUGGCACAGAUCUGCUCCACGGGAGGCUCAGAAUGUACCUCAGGAAAAAAUUCUUUAUUGUGAGGGUGAUCAAAAACUUGGACACACUUCCUAGAGAGGUGGUUGAUGCUGCUCCCUUUCAGUGUUCAGGAGGCAUUUGGACAAUGCCCUCAGUAACAAGCUUUAUCUUUUGGUUGGCCUUGAAGCUGGGCUAGAUGAUCUCUGGAGAUCCCUUCCAACUGAACUAUUCUAAUCUAGUAUAAUCUUGUCUAGUCUACUACAGCUAAUUUUAAAAGAUAAAUGAUUGAAUGAAUUAAUGAUUAAAUAAAUAAAUAAAUACAGUUGUUUUCUUCUACUAUUUUUUUUGUUUGUUUGAAAAAAAAAAUAGGAACAGAAACAUUACUUCUUCCGAAGCAACCAAAAUUCAUGCUUAUUGUAUUUUUUUUUUUUUUGCUUCUGUUCUAAAAAAAAAAAAAAGGUUUCUUUUUUGUUUUAUCUCCUUAUCCUUUUCUGCUUGGCCAAUUUUCAGAUCUUCUGUAGAGUUUUCAAACUGCUGUGUAAAAAUUCUGCAACAUUUCUUUUCUUUAGCCACUCUGUAUCCUUUCUAAGCAUGAAAAUGUAUGUGAUGUGUGAAGGUGCAGAAAAGCAAGUACAAAUGAAAAUAUUAAAAACUAGCUGCCUGAGCAAAGGCAAAAGGGAAAAAGCAGGAAAAAGAGAAGAAAAUCUAAAAUGAUGACAUCUUAUCCGAAAAAAAAAAAAAAAAAAAAAAGGAAAGAAAGAAAGAAAGAA
Molecule: long non-coding RNA, 22781 nt
Organism: Gallus gallus (chicken)
Lineage: Eukaryota; Metazoa; Chordata; Aves; Galliformes; Phasianidae
Exons: 4
Source: RefSeq, a predicted model, not a curated record